RNAcentral lists this small nuclear RNA (279 nucleotides) under Jaculus jaculus (lesser Egyptian jerboa). RNAcentral's name for it is "7SK RNA (ENSJJAG00000004213.1)". It matches the Rfam family "7SK RNA". From Rfam's summary of the family: 7SK was discovered as an abundant small nuclear RNA in the mid-70s but a possible function has only recently been suggested. The record is from Rfam by way of RNAcentral. Lineage: Eukaryota; Metazoa; Chordata; Mammalia; Rodentia; Dipodidae.
GGGUGUGAGGGUGACCUGGCUGCCACAUCUGUCACCCCAUUGAUCGUCAGGGUUGGUUCUGCUGAUCUGGCUGGCAAGGCAGGUGUCCCCUUCCUCCCUCACUGCUCCCCGUGUGCCCCUCCCCAAGCUGCAUGCUGGGUGGAGGAGGACGGCCUUCCCCGAGUAGAGGAGGGCCGGCUUUGGUCAAGGAUAGAGCAGCAGCUGGGCUCCCCGCAAACGCUAUUUGAGCAUCUGCUUAAUUUGAUAUCCUCAAAGGGCUGUUAAAACCAGCCCCACUCA